ACUGUAGGUUUGCCCCUUUAGGGGUACUGUACACUUGGUACCGUAGGUGGGUACUGUCUCGGAUACUGUAUCUUGGAAGUAUUACUGUAGGGGUACUGUAUCUGUACUAGUUUGUGGGAGUACUGUAGAUUUGUGGCUGUAAAUGGUAC
This is a non-coding RNA of Caenorhabditis elegans, 149 nucleotides long. Lineage: Eukaryota; Metazoa; Nematoda; Chromadorea; Rhabditida; Rhabditidae. The record is from Ensembl.